ACAGGUGAUUCCCCAAACUUAUACAUCAAGGUCACCAUCAAUGGGAUAGUGUGGAGCUGGACUGAGCCUCUUCAAGCAAGUUUCUCGCCAGUUUGAGACUCUGGACAAGCCCAAUCAGCUUGUUGAACAUUUGUUUUCUUUGUUUCAGCUGCACACCCACGAGACCUCUCAUAGGAGUGGUAUGAACUGUGCAAAAGUGCUUCUGGGACAAUUUUCUUAAAAGAAAGAGACUAGGAGUUCGUGUUUGCUUUGGUUUCUUUAUCAAGACACAUGCUACUUGUGAAAGAGAAGCUAUCAUAAAAUAGCCCUAUGAUAUCA
Long non-coding RNA from Hemicordylus capensis (graceful crag lizard), 318 nucleotides. RefSeq lists it as uncharacterized. The transcript is spliced from 2 exons. Lineage: Eukaryota; Metazoa; Chordata; Lepidosauria; Squamata; Cordylidae. The record is from RefSeq and is a predicted model, not a curated record.